AUGUUUUUAUUAUUAUUAUUAUUUUUUAUCUGGACUUUUUGUAUGAACUGUGCUGUUAAUGGCUUGGUGAAUUCUUGUUUGUCUCUAUGUGAAGGAAGAUGGAUGUGUGAAGAGUCACCCAAGUUCCAGGGAGAAACUGAGCAAGACAGAUUAGUCCCACCUCAGCGUGACACCUGGGGCACAUCCUUAUCUAAGGGGGAAGGGAGGACGAGGAGGCGCCGUUACAGAAGAAACCAGGAGAACUGCAGAGUUUGGGAUGUCCAUGACUCUUCACAGCCCUCAAGAAAGCCAUGUCCCAAGCACCCGGAGCUGGAUGGUGUGCCUAGAUUAGCCCAACUGUUCAACACGAUCCUCGAGGACCUCAACAGAUACAUUGAAAUGUACAACUUCGAGAUUACUGAGGGCACUGAUGACUCCCUCAGUCCCAUCAGUACAACGGAAACCAGCUCCUCUUCAGGGAUGUCUCUGUCUUCUGGGAGAAAGAACUCAUGCACUUCUGUCGUCAAAAUGGGAGCCCCCUGCUCUUCGAAGGCCUCUCUGUCAUCUUGUAGCAAUGUAUCCCUCACUUCCGUUUUGGACAUGGAACCCUGCUGCUCUUCAAGGGACUCCCUUUCUGCUUGGAGUGACAACUCCCUCGCUGCCAUUGUGGCAACAAAAGACAGUGGCUCUUCAGAGGCCCCUCUGACCCCAUGCAAGGACGACUCCCACACUUACACCAGGGUGAGUGAAGGUGCUUCACAGCUGUCACUCACAGCUCUUCUGGACGGAGCAGACAUGGUUCAAGCUUCCACGGUCCAGCCUUGUCUGCUUCCCAGUACUGUCCCAGAGGAGCAGCAUGACAUGGGCACUCACCCAUCCUGCACGAAAGAGGUGGCCAGCUGCCACAGGGCCGACAGAGUGCAGCAGCAACAGAAACAACUCCGGGACCAGCAGGGUGCUCCCACCCCACCUCCACUGGUGCCUGAUUCCCAGUCCAGGGAAACGGAGGUGCAACAGAAACACCUCCAGGACCAGCAGGGUGCUCCCACCCCACCUCCACUGGUGCCUGAUUCCCAGUCCAGGGAAACGGAGGUACAACAGACCUACUCCUUCCUUCCAAUGAAAUGGAUGAAACUUUUGAGAUUCAAACUGCCAAACGUAAUCUUUCUACAAGCUUAGGGCUGAGUGGGAUCUGUCUGUAGUCAGCAGAAGGAACAUACAUGGCUAACUUCAGCUAAAUAUCUGUUUUAAGCAGCUAAAAUUAAAUGAGAGAAACUUCAGCCAUGUCUUACAACAGAGAUUAGUAUCUGUGAACCAUCAAAAAGAAAAAAAAAGUCUUAUUUUUCCUGGAGCCUGAGAAGAUAGGAUGUGAAAUCUCCUUCUCAAUCUAAAGCAGUUUAUAUUAAAAAAAAAAAACAAAACAACAACAACAGCAACAACAACAACGACAACAAAACGUGUGUGUGGGGGGGGGUGGGGGUGAGAAUAAGCUCUGUAUCAAGAAUAUAUGUAGUUAGUUUGUAUCUGAAAUGAAAUAAAACAAACACUGGAAGCUUCUUACA
This 1541-nucleotide long non-coding RNA is filed under the name Anser cygnoides (Swan goose). RNAcentral describes it as "lncRNA (ENSACDG00005004825.1)". The record is from RNAcentral. Lineage: Eukaryota; Metazoa; Chordata; Aves; Anseriformes; Anatidae.